This 254-nucleotide ribosomal RNA is filed under the name uncultured bacterium. RNAcentral describes it as "partial 16S ribosomal RNA". It matches the Rfam family "Bacterial small subunit ribosomal RNA", at positions 524 to 776 of the family's 1533-position model. The record is from RNAcentral.
CACGUAGGGUGCGAGCGGUGUCCGGAAUUAUUGGGCGUAAAGAGCUCGUAGGCGGUGUGUCGCGUCGGCCGUGAAAACCUGCAGCUUAACUGUGGGCGUGCGGUCGAUACGGGCAUCACUGGAGUUCGGCAGGGGAGACUGGAAUUCCUGGUGUAGCGGUGAAAUGCGCAGAUAUCAGGAGGAACACCGGUGGCGAAGGCGGGUCUCUGGGCCGAUACUGACGCUGAGGAGCGAAAGCGUGGGGAGCAAACAGG